AUGAAUACAAUUACUGAAUUUGAUCUUCAAUUUAAGAUGUUUACACUAGGGGGAUACCACAUAAUCUUAUGUUAUAUUUAACGAAAGUAUAAGUAAACUAUUCAUUGUUGGUGAAUAUAUAGUUUUGAUGCCAUACGCAUUCUACGAAACUAGUUUCAGUAAUCCAGCCGUCAAACUUGUUUGUUUAUACUUCGAGAUCUUAG
RNAcentral lists this long non-coding RNA (203 nucleotides) under Prunus persica (peach). Its description in RNAcentral is "long non-coding RNA (PPER_LNC007707)". The record is from RNAcentral. Lineage: Eukaryota; Viridiplantae; Streptophyta; Magnoliopsida; Rosales; Rosaceae.